This 422-nucleotide ribosomal RNA is filed under the name uncultured Flavobacteriaceae bacterium. Its description in RNAcentral is "bacterial SSU rRNA". It matches the Rfam family "Bacterial small subunit ribosomal RNA", at positions 355 to 774 of the family's 1533-position model. Lineage: Bacteria; Pseudomonadati; Bacteroidota; Flavobacteriia; Flavobacteriales; Flavobacteriaceae. The record is from RNAcentral.
UGAGGAAUAUUGGACAAUGGUCGGAAGACUGAUCCAGCCAUGCCGCGUGCAGGAAGACGGCCUUAUGGGUUGUAAACUGCUUUUGUAUGGGAAGAAUAAGGGGUACGUGUACUUUGAUGACGGUACCAUACGAAUAAGCAUCGGCUAACUCCGUGCCAGCAGCCGCGGUAAUACGGAGGAUGCGAGCGUUAUCCGGAAUCAUUGGGUUUAAAGGGUCCGUAGGCGGGUAAGUAAGUCAGAGGUGAAAGCACUGAGCUCAACUGAGUAACUGCCUUUGAAACUGCUUAUCUUGAAUGUUUGUGAAGUAGCUGGAAUGUGUAGUGUAGCGGUGAAAUGCAUAGAUAUUACACAGAACACCGAUUGCGAAGGCAUGUUACUAACAAAUGAUUGACGCUGAUGGACGAAAGCGUGGGGAGCGAACA